Molecule: ribosomal RNA, 254 nt
Filed under: uncultured bacterium
Lineage: Bacteria
Description: partial 16S ribosomal RNA
Rfam family: Bacterial small subunit ribosomal RNA
Source: RNAcentral
CACGUAGGGUGCGAGCGUUGUCCGGAAUUAUUGGGCGUAAAGAGCUCGUAGGCGGUGUGUCGCGUCGGCCGUGAAAACCUGCAGCUUAACUGUGGGCUUGCGGUCGAUACGGGCAUCACUGGAGUUCGGCAGGGGAGACUGGAAUUCCUGGUGUAGCGGUGAAAUGCGCAGAUAUCAGGAGGAACACCGGUGGCGAAGGCGGGUCUCUGGGCCGAUACUGACGCUGAUGAGCGAAAGCCAGGGGAGCAAACGGG